RNAcentral lists this ribosomal RNA (484 nucleotides) under uncultured bacterium. RNAcentral's name for it is "partial 16S ribosomal RNA". It matches the Rfam family "Bacterial small subunit ribosomal RNA", at positions 30 to 507 of the family's 1533-position model. The record is from RNAcentral.
AUUGAACGCUGGCGGCAGGCCUAACACAUGCAAGUCGAGCGGAUGAAGGGAGCUUGCUCCUGGAUUCAGCGGCGGACGGGUGAGUAAUGCCUAGGAAUCUGCCUGGUCGUGGGGGCUAACGUCCGGAAACGGGCGCUAAUACCGCAUACGUCCUGAGGGAGAAAGUGGGGGAUCUUCGGACCUCACGCUAUCAGAUGAGCCUAGGUCGGAUUAGCUAGUUGGUGGGGUAAAGGCCUACCAAGGCGACGAUCCGUAACUGGUCUGAGAGGAUGAUCAGUCACACUGGAACUGAGACACGGUCCAGACUCCUACGGGAGGCAGCAGUGGGGAAUAUUGGACAAUGGGCGAAAGCCUGAUCCAGCCAUGCCGCGUGUGUGAAGAAGGUCUUCGGAUUGUAAAGCACUUUAAGUUGGGAGGAAGGGCAGUAAGUUAAUACCUUGCUGUUUUGACGUUACCAACAGAAUAAGCACCGGCUAACUUCGUG